This is a long non-coding RNA of Cyprinus carpio carpio, 631 nucleotides long. Lineage: Eukaryota; Metazoa; Chordata; Actinopteri; Cypriniformes; Cyprinidae. The record is from Ensembl.
AUAAAUUGGUUACAGAUACAUUGAACCACCAACUAAAAACAUUUAGCCAAAAGCAAACUCAUGUUCCCUGUACACCAGGGGUGUCACACUCAAGUUUCAGAGAGGGCCAAAAUUAAGAAAUGGUACUGAGUGCCAAACAGUCUCAUUGUGCUGUCUUAAUAUUAUUAUUAUGGACACGCCAGCUCCACUUUUGAGGCAAACUGGAUAUAAUUGUACCACGGCCAGAUGUAGCCCACAGAGUUUGAGUUUGACAUGCCUGCUCUACACCAUAUGUGAUCAUUUUAAAUAUAUUUGUUUUAACUUAAGAGACUCGUAGUGAAUUUGUGUUUUAAUACAGGUAAAUGCAGAAUUCACCCUCAUCACCACAGUCCCCCUGUUCUCAACCUUUAUGUCCCGACUGGAUCAUUACUAUAGCCAGCUAUUGAGGGUAUUCAAAAAGGAGGGGGGAACAGCAAGACGUGAUAUCGACGUAAUCAUUGCAGAAAUGGACAUGAAUCCCAGUGUUGAAGUACGACAGACAUGCAUCCUAAAGGCGUUGUGCGUCUACUUAAAUGAAAAGCCUGACAGCCUUAUUAAGGAGUACUGGUGUCAUAGAUGCAUAAUUAAUAAUGGGUCUCUUUCUUUGUCAUAG